This 243-nucleotide ribosomal RNA is filed under the name uncultured bacterium. RNAcentral describes it as "partial 16S ribosomal RNA". It matches the Rfam family "Bacterial small subunit ribosomal RNA", at positions 88 to 334 of the family's 1533-position model. The record is from RNAcentral.
CCGACGACCGGCGCACGGGUGCGUAACGCGUAUACAAUCUACCUUAUACUGGGGGAUAGCCUUUAGAAAUGAAGAUUAAUACCCAUGGUCUAUAGAUAUGGCAUCAUAUUUAUAGUAAAGGUUACGGUAUAAGAUGAGUAUGCGUCCUAUUAGUUAGUUGGUGUGGUAACGGCACACCAAGACUACGAUAGGUAGGGGCCCUGAGAGGGGGAUCCCCCACACUGGUACUGAGACACGGACCAG